GCAUUGCUGAUGAGUCUCAAACAGGACGAAAUAGCUGUCCAGUGC
RNAcentral lists this non-coding RNA (45 nucleotides) under Echinostoma caproni. The record is from RNAcentral. Lineage: Eukaryota; Metazoa; Platyhelminthes; Trematoda; Plagiorchiida; Echinostomatidae.